This 77-nucleotide transfer RNA is filed under the name Candidatus Peregrinibacteria bacterium. Its description in RNAcentral is "tRNA-Arg". It matches the Rfam family "tRNA". From Rfam's summary of the family: Transfer RNA (tRNA) molecules are approximately 80 nucleotides in length. Lineage: Bacteria; Candidatus Peregrinibacteriota. The record is from RNAcentral.
GCGCUCGUAGCUCAGUUGGAUAGAGCAUCGGCUUGCGGAGCCGGGGGUCACAGGUUCAAAUCCUGUCGGGCGCACCA